Molecule: ribosomal RNA, 2595 nt
Filed under: Shigella flexneri
Lineage: Bacteria; Pseudomonadati; Pseudomonadota; Gammaproteobacteria; Enterobacterales; Enterobacteriaceae
Description: partial 23S ribosomal RNA
Rfam family: Bacterial large subunit ribosomal RNA
Source: RNAcentral
GGAGCAGCCCAGAGCCUGAAUCAGUGUGUGUGUUAGUGGAAGCGUCUGGAAAGGCGUGCGAUACAGGGUGACAGCCCCGUACACAAAAAUGCACAUACUGUGAGCUCGAUGAGUAGGGCGGGACACGUGGUAUCCUGUCUGAAUAUGGGGGGACCAUCCUCCAAGGCUAAAUACUCCUGACUGACCGAUAGUGAACCAGUACCGUGAGGGAAAGGCGAAAAGAACCCCGGCGAGGGGAGUGAAAAAGAACCUGAAACCGUGUACGUACAAGCAGUGGGAGCACGCUUAGGCGUGUGACUGCGUACCUUUUGUAUAAUGGGUCAGCGACUUAUAUUCUGUAGCAAGGUUAACCGAAUAGGGGAGCCGAAGGGAAACCGAGUCUUAACUGGGCGUUAAGUUGCAGGGUAUAGACCCGAAACCCGGUGAUCUAGCCAUGGGCAGGUUGAAGGUUGGGUAACACUAACUGGAGGACCGAACCGACUAAUGUUGAAAAAUUAGCGGAUGACUUGUGGCUGGGGGUGAAAGGCCAAUCAAACCGGGAGAUAGCUGGUUCUCCCCGAAAGCUAUUUAGGUAGCGCCUCGUGAAUUCAUCUCCGGGGGUAGAGCACUGUUUCGGCAAGGGGGUCAUCCCGACUUACCAACCCGAUGCAAACUGCGAAUACCGGAGAAUGUUAUCACGGGAGACACACGGCGGGUGCUAACGUCCGUCGUGAAGAGGGAAACAACCCAGACCGCCAGCUAAGGUCCCAAAGUCAUGGUUAAGUGGGAAACGAUGUGGGAAGGCCCAGACAGCCAGGAUGUUGGCUUAGAAGCAGCCAUCAUUUAAAGAAAGCGUAAUAGCUCACUGGUCGAGUCGGCCUGCGCGGAAGAUGUAACGGGGCUAAACCAUGCACCGAAGCUGCGGCAGCGACGCUUAUGCGUUGUUGGGUAGGGGAGCGUUCUGUAAGCCUGUGAAGGUGUGCUGUGAGGUAUGCUGGAGGUAUCAGAAGUGCGAAUGCUGACAUAAGUAACGAUAAAGCGGGUGAAAAGCCCGCUCGCCGGAAGACCAAGGGUUCCUGUCCAACGUUAAUCGGGGCAGGGUGAGUCGACCCCUAAGGCGAGGCCGAAAGGCGUAGUCGAUGGGAAACAGGUUAAUAUUCCUGUACUUGGUGUUACUGCGAAGGGGGGACGGAGAAGGCUAUGUUGGCCGGGCGACGGUUGUCCCGGUUUAAGCGUGUAGGCUGGUUUUCCAGGCAAAUCCGGAAAAUCAAGGCCGAGGCGUGAUGACGAGGCACUACGGUGCUGAAGCAACAAAUGCCCUGCUUCCAGGAAAAGCCUCUAAGCAUCAGGUAACAUCAAAUCGUACCCCAAACCGACACAGGUGGUCAGGUAGAGAAUACCAAGGCGCUUGAGAGAACUCGGGUGAAGGAACUAGGCAAAAUGGUGCCGUAACUUCGGGAGAAGGCACGCUGAUACGUAGGUGAAGCGACUUGCUCGUGGAGCUGAAAUCAGUCGAAGAUACCAGCUGGCUGCAACUGUUUAUUAAAAACACAGCACUGUGCAAACACGAAAGUGGACGUAUACGGUGUGACGCCUGCCCGGUGCCGGAAGGUUAAUUGAUGGGGUUAGCGCAAGCGAAGCUCUUGAUCGAAGCCCCGGUAAACGGCGGCCGUAACUAUAACGGUCCUAAGGUAGCGAAAUUCCUUGUCGGGUAAGUUCCGACCUGCACGAAUGGCGUAAUGAUGGCCAGGCUGUCUCCACCCGAGACUCAGUGAAAUUGAACUCGCUGUGAAGAUGCAGUGUACCCGCGGCAAGACGGAAAGACCCCGUGAACCUUUACUAUAGCUUGACACUGAACAUUGAGCCUUGAUGUGUAGGAUAGGUGGGAGGCUUUGAAGUGUGGACGCCAGUCUGCAUGGAGCCGACCUUGAAAUACCACCCUUUAAUGUUUGAUGUUCUAACGUGGACCCGUGAUCCGGGUUGCGGACAGUGUCUGGUGGGUAGUUUGACUGGGGCGGUCUCCUCCUAAAGAGUAACGGAGGAGCACGAAGGUUGGCUAAUCCUGGUCGGACAUCAGGAGGUUAGUGCAAUGGCAUAAGCCAGCUUGACUGCGAGCGUGACGGCGCGAGCAGGUGCGAAAGCAGGUCAUAGUGAUCCGGUGGUUCUGAAUGGAAGGGCCAUCGCUCAACGGAUAAAAGGUACUCCGGGGAUAACAGGCUGAUACCGCCCAAGAGUUCAUAUCGACGGCGGUGUUUGGCACCUCGAUGUCGGCUCAUCACAUCCUGGGGCUGAAGUAGGUCCCAAGGGUAUGGCUGUUCGCCAUUUAAAGUGGUACGCGAGCUGGGUUUAGAACGUCGUGAGACAGUUCGGUCCCUAUCUGCCGUGGGCGCUGGAGAACUGAGGGGGGCUGCUCCUAGUACGAGAGGACCGGAGUGGACGCAUCACUGGUGUUCGGGUUGUCAUGCCAAUGGCACUGCCCGGUAGCUAAAUGCGGAAGAGAUAAGUGCUGAAAGCAUCUAAGCACGAAACUUGCCCCGAGAUGAGUUCUCCCUGACCCUUUAAGGGUCCUGAAGGAACGUUGAAGACGACGACGUUGAUAGGCCGGGUGUGUAAGCG